GAUGAACGCUGGCGGCGUGCCUAACACAUGCAAGUCGAACGGAAGGACGCUAAGCGCUCGUCUCUGCUGUUGGCGACGGGCGGGUGAGUAACGCGUGGAUAGCCUUCCUCUUAGUCUUGGGUAACUUCGGGAGGCCGCAGCUACUACCAGAUCAUAUUUUGAACGGCAUGGUUCAAAAGUGCUUGACGGUUUUGCUGACACUUUUAGCUGGUUCCGCGUUGGAUUAGCUAGUUGGUAAGGUAAAGGCUUAGCAAGGCAACGAUGCGUAGCCGACCGGAGAGGGUGAUCGGCCACACUGGAACUGAGACACGGUCCAGACUCCUACGGGAGGCAGCAGUAGGGAAUAUUCGGCAAUGGGCGAAAGCCUGACGGAGCAACGCCGCGUGAGUGAUGAAGGUCUUCGGGUCGUAAAGCCCUGUUAUUGGGGAAGAACAGCUGUGGAUGUAAACGUGGCUGUUGUGACGGUACCUAAAGAAAAAGCGCCGGCUAACUACGUG
This 497-nucleotide ribosomal RNA is filed under the name uncultured bacterium. Its description in RNAcentral is "partial 16S ribosomal RNA". It matches the Rfam family "Bacterial small subunit ribosomal RNA", at positions 28 to 507 of the family's 1533-position model. The record is from RNAcentral.